RNAcentral lists this unclassified non-coding RNA (43 nucleotides) under Lachnospiraceae bacterium ND2006. RNAcentral describes it as "RNA (43-MER) from Lachnospiraceae bacterium ND2006 (PDB 7D3J, chain B)". The record is from RNAcentral. Lineage: Bacteria; Bacillati; Bacillota; Clostridia; Lachnospirales; Lachnospiraceae.
AUUUUUGUGCCCAUCGUUGGCACUAUUAAGGAAUGGAAUAUAG